This 21-nucleotide unclassified non-coding RNA is filed under the name Mus musculus (house mouse). RNAcentral's name for it is "oocyte_clustered_small_RNA8450". The record is from RNAcentral. Lineage: Eukaryota; Metazoa; Chordata; Mammalia; Rodentia; Muridae.
UACACUCUUCCACGCCUUCCA